Molecule: ribosomal RNA, 253 nt
Filed under: uncultured bacterium
Lineage: Bacteria
Description: partial 16S ribosomal RNA
Rfam family: Bacterial small subunit ribosomal RNA
Source: RNAcentral
UACGGGGGGGGCAAGCGUUGUUCGGAAUUACUGGGCGUAAAGGGCCCGUAGGCGGCCAACUAAGUCAGACGUGAAAUCCCUCGGCUUAACCGGGGAACUGCGUCUGAUACUGGAUGGCUUGAGUUCGGGAGAGGGAUGCGGAAUUCCAGGUGUAGCGGUGAAAUGCGUAGAUAUCUGGAGGAACACCGGUGGCGAAGGCGGCAUCCUGGACCGACACUGACGCUGAGGAGCGAAAGCCAGGGGAGCAAACGGG